GUGCCAGCAGCCGCGGUAAUACGUAGGGGGCAAGCGUUGUCCGGAUUUAUUGGGCGUAAAGCGCGUGUAGGUGGCCAUGUAGGUCCGCUGUGAAAACUUGAGGCUCAACCUCAAGCUGUCGGUGGAAACCCCAUGGCUAGAGUCCGGAAGAGGAGAGUGGAAUUCCUGGUGUAGCGGUGAAAUGCGCAGAUAUCAGGAAGAACACCAAUGGCGAAGGCAGCUCUCUGGGACGGUACUGACACUGAGACGCGAAAGCGUGGGGAGCGAACAGGAUUAGAUACCCUGGUAGUCC
This 292-nucleotide ribosomal RNA is filed under the name uncultured bacterium. RNAcentral describes it as "partial 16S ribosomal RNA". It matches the Rfam family "Bacterial small subunit ribosomal RNA", at positions 505 to 796 of the family's 1533-position model. The record is from RNAcentral.